GACUACUGGGGUAUCUAAUCCUGUUUGCUCCCCACGCUUUCGUGCAUGAGCGUCAGUAUUAGGCCAGGGGGCUGCCUUCGCCAUUGGUAUUCCUCCACAUCUCUACGCAUUUCACUGCUACACGUGGAAUUCUACCCCCCUCUCCCAUACUCUAGCCUUGUAGUUUCAAACGCAGUUCCCAGGUUGAGCCCGGGGCUUUCACAUCUGACUUACAAAACCGCCUGCGCACGCUUUACGCCCAGUAAUUCCGAUUAACGCUCGCACCCUACGUAUUACCGCGGCUGCUGGCACGUAGUUAGCCGGUGCUUCUUAUCAAGGUACCGUCAACCUCACCCUCUAUUAAAAGGUAAGUUUUCUUCCCUUGCGAAAGAGCUUUACAACCCGAAGGCCUUCUUCACUCACGCGGAAUGGCUGGAUCAGGCUUGCGCCCAUUGUCCAAAAUUCCCCACUGCAGCCGCCCGUAGG
RNAcentral lists this ribosomal RNA (465 nucleotides) under uncultured Methylophilaceae bacterium. RNAcentral describes it as "partial 16S ribosomal RNA". The record is from RNAcentral. Lineage: Bacteria; Pseudomonadati; Pseudomonadota; Betaproteobacteria; Nitrosomonadales; Methylophilaceae.